Bombus terrestris (buff-tailed bumblebee) is the source of this 740-nucleotide long non-coding RNA. RefSeq lists it as uncharacterized. NCBI's taxonomy places the organism in Eukaryota, Metazoa, Arthropoda, Insecta, Hymenoptera, Apidae. The transcript is spliced from 3 exons. The record is from RefSeq and is a predicted model, not a curated record.
AGGAAACGAGAAACGCUUCUAGCGCAGAAGUAAGUGGAUCUAACGUAGGAAGUUAUAGACAUGCGAUGUUUCGUGGAAUAGAAAAGCAUAUGUUACAUAUUAGGUAAUUCUUGCGGAAAGAAGUACAAUUUCUAGCUUCCAACGUAACUAUCGUGCGAAGAAGUACGCGAAACGUUAUAAUCACGAGCAGCUAUAUCAAUUGAACAUACGACAAAUUGAACAUAAUGUAAUAAACCUUAAUAGAACGUCGAAAUUAUAAUCGAGAUCCUAAACAGAUCUGCAACUCCAGAGAGUCUGAAAGCCCUUAAAAGAACCUCGGAUCAGAACACUCUGUCGCAAAUCGUUGGUCAGACUCUUGAGAAUUUUCCAGUCUUCAAACAAUCGACAACCUCUAACAAUGGAUUGACCCGUAUCUUCUAAGGAGAUCAAAACUUAAAUGGAAAAAACUCGUACAUUAAACGUCGAUAAGUCGUUGUGAUAGAGUACUGUUGCUUUCUUCUCAUUUUUUGAAAAUUACUCAGAAAAAAACCGAAACUAUGAGUGCCGGGAUUCGAACCAGCGUCUUCAGCGUUCGUAACCAACGGCGCUAACCACAGCUCUACCGUCGUCUGGUCGGAUAGGGUCUCUGUGUAGCAAGCCACGGGACAGAGACCGUUAGAAGAUUGCUGUGGAGUGCGGCUAUAAAUUAUUUUGUCGUUUAUCAUAUGAUUUUGUGACGACUUAUACGAUUUGAUUAUACU